GACGAACGCUGACGGUGUGCUUUAGACAUGCAAGUCGAACGCGAAAGCCCUUCGGGGUUAGUAGAGUGGCGAACGGGUGAGUAACACGUGGGCAAUCUGCCCCUCGCAGGGGGACAACCGGAGGAAACUCCGGCUAAUACCCCGUACGCUUGCGGAACCGCAUGGUACCGCAAGGAAAGGUAGCUUCGGCCAUCCGGCGAGGGAUGAGCCCGCGGUGCAUUAGCUAGUUGGUGGGGUAACGCCCACCAAGGCGACGAUGCAUAGCUGGUCUGAGAGGAUGAUCAGCCACACUGGGACUGAGACACGGCCCAGACUCCUACGGGAGGCAGCAGUCGGGAAUCUUGCGCAAUGGGCGAAAGCCUGACGCAGCAACACCGUGUGAGCGACGAAGGCCU
RNAcentral lists this ribosomal RNA (395 nucleotides) under uncultured bacterium. RNAcentral describes it as "bacterial SSU rRNA". It matches the Rfam family "Bacterial small subunit ribosomal RNA", at positions 28 to 417 of the family's 1533-position model. The record is from RNAcentral.